RNAcentral lists this ribosomal RNA (447 nucleotides) under uncultured bacterium. RNAcentral describes it as "partial 16S ribosomal RNA". It matches the Rfam family "Bacterial small subunit ribosomal RNA", at positions 29 to 523 of the family's 1533-position model. The record is from RNAcentral.
AACGAACGCUGGCGGCAGGCUUAACACAUGCAAGUCGAACGGUCCGCAAGGAUAGUGGCAAACGGGUGAGUAAUACAUGGGAAUGUACCUUUUAGUUCGGGAUAACAGCGGGAAACUGCUGCUAAUACCGGAUGCGCUCUACGGAGGAAAGAUUUAUCGCUGAAAGAUCAGCCCAUGCCAGAUUAGCUAGUUGGUGAGGUAAUGGCUCACCAAGGCAGUGAUCUGUAGCGGGUCUGAGAGGAUGAUCCGCCACACUGGGACUGCGAUACGGCCCAGACUCCUACGGGAGGCAGCAGUGAGGAAUAUUGGACAAUGGAGGCAACUCUGAUCCAGCCAUGCCGCGUGAAUGAUGAAGGCCUUAGGGUUGUAAAGUUCUUUAAGUGGGGAAGAUAAUGACGGUACCCACAGAAUAAGCACCGGCUAACUUCGUGCCAGCAGCCGCCGCCG